UUCUAGUUGUUGAUUCACUAUAUCUAUAAGCUAUUCAGCCACACUUGUAAAUUCAUUCUAUUCAAUAAAAUUCUUCUUCUCAUUUUCAAUAUGGUAUCAUAGCGUUCUUUUUCUUGGUCCCGAAAUUCUGUUACAGUUUUCUUUUCUCUGUUUCGAAACCCUUUUUCUUCUGAAAACCCUAAAUCUUGCUCAAAGUCUCAUCAAUGGCGGCCAAUCAGAAUGUUGAUCCGAUGCAGAAUCCUUCGAGCCCUUAUUUCAUGCAUCCUAAUGAAAAUCCAGCUCUAGUUUUAGUGUCACCAGUGCUCACAAGCCCUAACUACCAUUCUUGGUCUCAGGCUAUGAAGAUGGCUUUGGUUUCUAAGAAUAAACUAAAGUUUGUAGAUGGAUCUUUAAAGAUGCUACCAGUUACUAAUCCACUAUACACAGCCUGGGAAAGGUGUAAUGCCUUUUUUCUAUCUUGGAUAAUUCACUCAUUAUCUCAAUCCAUCACUCAAAGUGUUCUUUGGAUUGAUAAAGCAGCAGAUGUCUGGAAGGAUUUAAAGGAGAGAUUUUCACAAGAGGAUAUUUUACGUAUCUCAGAUCUGCAAGAAGAGAUUUACGCCCUUAAACAAGGUGAGAUAUCUGUGAUUGACUAUCAUACAG
RNAcentral lists this unclassified non-coding RNA (642 nucleotides) under Hevea brasiliensis (rubber tree). The record is from RNAcentral. Lineage: Eukaryota; Viridiplantae; Streptophyta; Magnoliopsida; Malpighiales; Euphorbiaceae.